RNAcentral lists this ribosomal RNA (1662 nucleotides) under Listeria monocytogenes. Its description in RNAcentral is "partial 23S ribosomal RNA". It matches the Rfam family "Bacterial large subunit ribosomal RNA", at positions 243 to 1898 of the family's 2925-position model. The record is from RNAcentral. Lineage: Bacteria; Bacillati; Bacillota; Bacilli; Caryophanales; Listeriaceae.
GUAGCGGCGAGCGAAACGGAAAGAGCCCAAACCAAGAAGCUUGCUUCUUGGGGUUGUAGGACACUCUAUACGGAGUUACAAAAGAAAGUUAUAAAUGAAGCGGUCUGGAAAGGCCCGCCAAAGACGGUAACAGCCCGGUAGUUGAAAUGGCUUUCCCUCCAGAGUGGAUCCUGAGUACGGCGGAACACGUGAAAUUCCGUCGGAAUCCGGGAGGACCAUCUCCCAAGGCUAAAUACUCCCUAGUGACCGAUAGUGAACCAGUACCGUGAGGGAAAGGUGAAAAGCACCCCGGAAGGGGAGUGAAACAGUUCCUGAAACCGUGUGCCUACAAGUAGUUAGAGCCCGUUAAUGGGUGAUAGCGUGCCUUUUGUAGAAUGAACCGGCGAGUUACGAUUUGUUGCAAGGUUAAGCGGAAAAAGCGGAGCCGUAGCGAAAGCGAGUCUGAAUAGGGCGCAUAAGUAACAGGUCGUAGACCCGAAACCAGGUGAUCUACCCAUGUCCAGGAUGAAGGUAAGGUAAUACUUACUGGAGGUCCGAACCCACGCACGUUGAAAAGUGCGGGGAUGAGGUGUGGGUAGCGGAGAAAUUCCAAUCGAACUUGGAGAUAGCUGGUUCUCUCCGAAAUAGCUUUAGGGCUAGCCUCGAGGUAAAGAGUCAUGGAGGUAGAGCACUGUUUGGACUAGGGGCCCUUCUCGGGUUACCGAAUUCAGAUAAACUCCGAAUGCCAUGUACUUAUACUCGGGAGUCAGACUGCGAGUGAUAAGAUCCGUAGUCGAAAGGGAAACAGCCCAGACCACCAGUUAAGGUCCCCAAAUAUAUGUUAAGUGGAAAAGGAUGUGGGGUUGCUUAGACAACCAGGAUGUUGGCUUAGAAGCAGCCACCAUUGAAAGAGUGCGUAAUAGCUCACUGGUCGAGUGACCCCGCGCCGAAAAUGUACCGGGGCUAAACAUAUUACCGAAACUGUGGAUGAACCUCUUUAGAGGUUCGUGGUAGGAGAGCGUUCUAAGGGCGGUGAAGUCAGACCGGAAGGACUGGUGGAGCGCUUAGAAGUGAGAAUGCCGGUAUGAGUAGCGAAAGAAGGGUGAGAAUCCCUUCCACCGAAUAUCUAAGGUUUCCUGAGGAAGGCUCGUCCGCUCAGGGUUAGUCGGGACCUAAGCCGAGGCCGAUAGGCGUAGGCGAUGGACAACAGGUAGAGAUUCCUGUACCAGUGCUAAUUGUUUAACCGAUGGGGUGACACAGAAGGAUAGGGAAUCGCACGAAUGGAAAUGUGCGUCCAAGCAGUGAGUGUGAGAAGUAGGCAAAUCCGCUUCUCGCGAAGCAUGAGCUGUGAUGGGGAAGGAAAUUAAGUACGGAAGUUCCUGAUUUCACGCUGUCAAGAAAAGCCUCUAGGAAGAGUAGUACUGCCCGUACCGCAAACCGACACAGGUAGAUGAGGAGAGAAUCCUAAGGUGAGCGAGAGAACUCUCGUUAAGGAACUCGGCAAAAUGACCCCGUAACUUCGGGAGAAGGGGUGCUCUAUUAGGGUGCAAGCCCGAGAGAGCCGCAGUGAAUAGGCCCAGGCGACUGUUUAGCAAAAACACAGGUCUCUGCAAAACCGUAAGGUGACGUAUAGGGGCUGACGCCUGCCCGGUGCUGGAAGGUUAAGAGGAGUGCUUAGCUUCG